Molecule: ribosomal RNA, 367 nt
Filed under: uncultured bacterium
Lineage: Bacteria
Description: bacterial SSU rRNA
Rfam family: Bacterial small subunit ribosomal RNA
Source: RNAcentral
UACGUAGGUGGCAAGCGUUAUCCGGAAUUAUUGGGCGUAAAGGGUGCGUAGGCGGUUUAAUAAGUCUGAAGUAAAAGGCGAUGGCUCAACCAUUGUUGGCUUUGGAAACUGUUAGACUAGAGUGCAGGAGAGGCAAAUGGAAUUCCAUGUGUAGCGGUAAAAUGCGUAGAUAUAUGGAGGAACACCAGUGGCGAAGGCGGUUUGCUGGCCUGUAACUGACGCUGAGGCACGAAAGCGUGGGGAGCAAAUAGGAUUAGAUACCCUAGUAGUCCACGCCGUAAACGAUGAGAACUAGGUGUUGGGGAAACUCAGUGCCGCAGUUAACGCAAUAAGUUCUCCGCCUGGGGAGUAUGCACGCAAGUGUGAA